RNAcentral lists this ribosomal RNA (422 nucleotides) under uncultured bacterium. RNAcentral describes it as "bacterial SSU rRNA". It matches the Rfam family "Bacterial small subunit ribosomal RNA", at positions 28 to 447 of the family's 1533-position model. The record is from RNAcentral.
GACGAACGCUGGCGGCACGCUUAACACAUGCAAGUCGAACGAGAGAAGAGAAGCUUGCUUUUCUGAUCUAGUGGCGGACGGGUGAGUAACACGUGAGCAAUCUGCCUUUCAGAGGGGGAUACCGGUUGGAAACGAUCGUUUAUACCGCAUAACAUAAUUGAACCGCAUGAUUUGAUUAUCAAAGAUUUAUCGCUGAAAGAUGAGCUCGCGUCUGAUUAGCUAGUUGGUAAGGUAACGGCUUACCAAGGCGACGAUCAGUAGCCGGACUGAGAGGUUGAUCGGCCACAUUGGGACUGAGACACGGCCCAGACUCCUACGGGAGGCAGCAGUGGGGAAUAUUGCACAAUGGAGGAAACUCUGAUGCAGCGAUGCCGCGUGAGGGAAGAAGGUUUUAGGAUUGUAAACCUCUGUCUUCAGGGACG